GCGUUUACCUGGAGGCAGCGGCUUGGGCGCGCAGAGCGGCCGCGGCUCCCCCGCACCUGCGGCCAUGGAUGAGGAGCGCGCCCUCUACAUCGUCCGGGCCGGCGAAGCAGGGGCUAUCGAGCGGGUCCUGAGGGAUUACAGCGACAAGCAUAGGGCUACUUUCAAAUUUGAAUCAACAGAUGAAGAUAAAAGAAAGAAACUCUGUGAAGGCAUAUUUAAAGUCCUUAUAAAGGACAUCCCAACAACAUGUCAAGUGUCCUGCCUGGAAGUACUCCGCAUUCUCUCCAGAGACAAAAAGGUUUUAGUUCCUGUGACAACUAAGGAAAAUAUGCAGAUACUGCUGCGACUAGCCAAGCUAAAUGAGUUAGAUGAUUCUUUGGAGAAAGUAUCAGAGUUCCCAGUUAUUGUGGAGUCAUUAAAAUGUCUGUGUAAUAUAGUGUUCAACAGUCAGAUGGCACAGCAGCUCAGCCUGGAACUUAAUCUUGCUGCAAAGCUCUGUAACCUCCUGAGAAAGUGCAAGGACCGGAAAUUUAUCAAUGACAUUAAGUGCUUUGACUUGCGCUUGCUCUUCCUUCUGUCACUUUUGCACACCGACAUCAGGUCACAAUUGCGCUAUGAGCUCCAGGGACUACCGCUGCUAACGCAGAUCUUGGAAAGUGCCUUUAGCAUCAAGUGGACCGAUGAGUAUGAAUCGGCCAUAGACCAUAAUGGACCUCCUCUCUCACCUCAGGAGACAGACUGUGCCAUUGAGGCCCUCAAAGCUCUCUUCAAUGUGACGGUAGACAGUUGGAAGGUGCAUAAAGAGAGUGAUUCUCAUCAGUUCCGUGUAAUGGCAGCUGUCCUUCGUCAUUGUUUACUAAUCGUAGGUCCAACUGAAGACAAAACAGAAGAGCUACACAGCAAUGCAGUCAACCUUUUAAGCAAUGUUCCAGUCUCUUGUUUGGAUGUUCUCAUUUGUCCGUUAACCCAUGAAGAAACAGCCCAAGAGGCAACGACUCUAGAUGAACUGCCCAGUAAUAAAACAGCUGAGAAAGAAACAGUUUUGAAAAACAAUACCAUGGUAUACAAUGGUAUGAAUAUGGAGGCCAUUCAUGUUUUACUGAAUUUUAUGGAGAAGAGAAUAGACAAGGGAAGCAGCUAUAGAGAGGGUCUAACUCCAGUUCUCAGCUUAUUAACCGAAUGUUCCCGAGCCCAUCGAAACAUCCGAAAAUUUCUCAAAGAUCAGGUUUUACCACCGUUGAGGGAUGUGACAAAUCGACCUGAAGUUGGCUCAACUGUGAGAAAUAAGCUGGUGCGCCUCAUGACACAUGUUGACCUUGGAGUCAAGCAAAUUGCUGCUGAAUUCCUUUUUGUCCUUUGCAAAGAGAGAGUGGAUAGUCUGCUGAAAUACACUGGCUAUGGGAAUGCUGCAGGACUGUUGGCGGCCAGGGGCCUCUUGGCUGGAGGAAGAGGAGAUAAUUGGUACUCAGAGGAUGAGGACACAGACACUGAAGAAUACAAAAAUGCAAAACCAAACAUUAAUCUUAUCACUGGUCAUUUAGAGGAACCAAUGCCAAACCCCAUAGAUGAAAUGACAGAAGAACAAAAAGAAUAUGAAGCCAUGAAACUUGUCAACAUGCUUGAUAAACUUUCCAGGGGAAUCCACAUAUUCUAGAAGCUGCCAACAAAUAAAUAUACAAACGUCAAGUCUGAAAUACCCCAGCUUCCACCUGAUUUAAACUAUGCCUCAAAGAAGAUGCCUACUUAUCCGGAAGUACCCAGCAGAUGCCCAACUGAAGACCCUGUCAUUAAUUCCAUGUGUCAAUACUGCCCUGUAGUACACAGAGCAGACAAGAAAGAAGAGCCCUUGAAAACAAGGGAAUGAUUUUUGAGUCGUUAUCAAGCUAAGUGGCAAGCGGGAAGCUGAAACUCGUAUAGUUGAACAUUCUUGGAGGCUUAUCUCUUCCCUGGCCAGAUGCCUGAUCAGAUGAGAAGCCCGCCAUGAUACUGUCACAGUGCCUAGAAUGGGCUCUUUAUCCAGUAGACACCACUGUACUUUUUGAUACGAGGGCAGUCUUAACUUGUGUUAAGGCCUGUGUGUAGCAUUGAAGAUACUGGCAAAUCACAGCCUGAGAAGACAUGGACUCUGCCCUCAAGUUGCUCACAGUCUAGUACAGAACAAGAAAUCUCUGGAAAGCAUUAUACAGAAUUUCCUGUGGAAUGUUAAUCCUGUUUCUAACCCUGUAAAUCUUCGUGAUGAAAGUGAAUGUGUACCCAGAGAUUUAGCUUUUCUCUUCAUGGUUUAGUCAUUAGGAGUCCCAUUAGACACCAUACCUUUUCUCUUCAGGAAAAUGAAAGAUAAUAUCAAGUACAACUAAAUUUAAUUCACAAACACUUAUUGAGGAUCUGCUAUCUGCAAGGCACUGUGCUAGACACAUAGGGAUAUGAAAAUUGAGUAAAGCAUAGACAUUCUCUUUUUAAAAUAUCAGAGCAGUAGUAUUUCAUAGCUCUCAAACUUUGUAAUGACAGUUAUUUUUAAUAUCCUUAGAAGUUGGGGGUGGGGGGUAUGCUCCUGAAAUAGAAAACAAGAAUACCUUUGUACUCAAGUCCAGACUUGUCAGCCUAGGAUUCAAGGUCUCCAUUCAAAUCCUCUUUUAUACCGCAUCUCUUUUGAGUUGUUUUUUUUUUUUUCCUUUAUCUCAGCCGAGCCAGCCUGCUUGCCAGUCCCUGCACACAACUAACUCUUGCUUCUGUGCCUCUGCUUGACUAAUUCUUCUGCUUCUGGGAUGCCUUUCUCCCUGUGAAUCCAUGUCCAUCACUGCCAUUACAGUCUGGCCCCUGAGUCCACCUACUGCAAGGAGCCUGUGGUCAGCAUCCCUGUCUCCUCCUGUGUCCCUCUCACAUGUGCAUAGCCAUACGACUGGUGAAGGAAUAUUUCUGUGGUGUUCAUUAAAGCUUCCCAUUCUCUGUCCACAUCUUGCUGAUCUAGAUACAACAGAUUGCAAAUGAAAUAGUCCCAGAUUAUAAAUGAGACAGUCCAAUAUAACCAGGUCAUUUACCAAGCCUUUUAGGAGUGAGUCUCUGUACCAAAUAUUUCAUUUUGAUAUUUGUGGGCCACUAGUUGAAGGAUAGAGGAAGAAGAUGAGAAAAGUUAGGAUGGGGGUAUGAGAAAUAAGCCUGGGGUCAAUUAGAACAAACAGUCACACAUCUGUAAAUGAUCCUCUCCUUCUACUCCCAGACAGGACAAGAAAUCUCCUUUAAACCAACUUCAAAUACAGUAAGGGUGUAUUGACAAAUUUUAAAGCUUAAAGAAAGCAGGGCUCUCUGCCUGUUAAUCAUCUCAAGCUUGUUGAUCUGCUGUUCUGUAACUCUUUCAAUAUUGUUUAAUGUGUGUGUGUUUUCUGAACUGACUAAAAGCUUCUUGAGGACAGGGACCAUGUCUUUUAUUUGCCUCUGCAUAUUCUUCCCCCACUUAAUCCCUAACUAGCAUGGGAAAACCUUCUGUAAGCACUUAAGGGACAGGAACGACAAUUUGUGGGUUCUAACUACAUUCCAGCCUAAUGUUAUACUAUACACUUUGUAUGUAUAGUAGCCUUUUGCCCUCAUCACAACUUAGUGUGAGGUAUGUGUUCCUGUCCUAAUUCUACAGAGAAGGAAAUUGGAAUUCAGUGAGUUCAUGUUCUUACAGCUAGUGACUGGUCGAUCCAGAAUUAGAGCACAGGUCCGUCUGACUCCAAAACCUAUAUGUGCUUUUCACUAUACCACAAUAACAACGAAUAUUUGUUCUGUACAAUUCACAACUCUUUGGUCUACCUUAUUAUUAUUAUUAUUAUUACUACCACUACUUACAUCUUCACUAGUCAGUAGGUACAGCCAAGAUUAUCACGACCCCCAUUUCACUGGUAGGGAAACUGAGACUCGGAAGCUUGCCCAAGAUCACACAGCUGGUAAGUGGAGGAGAACCAGGACUUCAGACAGACUUCCUGACUCCAGAUCUUUUUUUUCUUUCCAUGACAUCACAUUGCUGCCUUAAUUCAUUUGCACAAUGCAUGAUUGUAUGGCCAGUGUUCACUGACACCUUUCCUACAGAAGUAUCAAUGAGCCCAGGCAUUACGUAGAGCCAUGUGGAGAAGAAAAUAAUUCAUACCUUCAGAGGAGCUUCCAUUUUAGUGGGGGUUGAUACAAAGCACCCAGAAAGUAAAUGCUUGAGAAUAGUUCACAAGUAAGAAUUAAAAUAUAGGCCCGUUGUUCCAUAAUGAAAUCCUAUAAUUUGGCCAUAAAACUAAUAUUUUUAAUUAUUUGCAUAAUUGGAUUAGGGAGCAAGGGUAAAGCUGAUAGACUUAUUUGAAAAUAUUACUUCUGGGUUUAGAUGAGAAAGUGCUAGAUACUUCACACAAGUUAGUAGCUAGCCCCAGAAUCAUCUUUUUAUCAAAGAGAUGCAGUAGUUUUAGUCUCAGGAGUGAUGGUAUAUCCACCCAGCAGUUUAUCACUCAGUCCCAUCUGCCAAUCCUACUUUUACCUAUCCCUACCCUUCAGUCCCCACCCCACACCUGAGUUUACCAACCCCUUCAGACCCUCAGUGUUUCAUUCCCAGCAGGUUCUCCCUCUUCUCCUUUUGCUUCAGUUGUUAAUAUGUAGUGUCCAACAUCACAAAGUCCUUUAGCACAAUCAGAACUAGGAAUUUAUUUAAAAUAUAGGUAUGUAAUUUACGUCAGUGCUAGAGAGAAGUUUUAAUGGAAACGUUGUUUCUAGCUCUCCACUGAACAUUUCUACAUGGUUGUCAUGUAGGCACCUCAAGCCCUUCAAGUCCUAAAAUAUAUCAGAAUCUCCCCACCAAAUCUCCAUCUCCUAUGUCCUGGCCCCAUUGAAUAGAGUCACCAUCCACUUGGUCAUCUGAGCUGAAACAACAGGAACUCUCUACUUACUACUCUCAUUCUCCAACCCCUUUUCCUCCCAGUGAGUCAUGAGAUCUACCUCAGAAAUGUUGCCUUUUCUUCCCACAACCUCAGACUUAAUCCAGCUGUCUGUCUCCUCCCCCACACACUAUUAUGAUGACCCCCCUAAUGACUUGUCUAUCUGCCACCAAUUCCAAUGUGUCUAUCAUGCUGCUGCCAGAGGUACUUUCUUAUAAAACAAACGUAAUCAAACACUCUUUAUAGGGUAAAAUCUAAACUCCUUAUUUUGGCAUUUAAGACAUUUUUGACUAUUGCAUCCCAAACUACCCUUGCAGCCUUACCUCCUGCCCCUCCUUCAUUGAACCUCACCAUUCCCCAAACACUGGGCCCUUUCCCGGCUUCAUGAGAGCACAGAGAUAGAAAAGAUGAGCUGACACAAUCCAAAAAGGUUUAAAAAGAUAGAGAAUCACACACGUCAGUGGGACCAUUCAGAGCUCUUUACAGUCUCUUUUAUCUGAAAUGCUCUGUGCCCAUCUGCCUAGUGCAGGGCCACUCACUGACACCUCACUUGACAGUGCCCUCCCCAGGCAGCCUGGUCAGUGCUUCAUCUCAGGAGCUGCCUCACUUCUUUGUUCAUAAUUCUCUUACAGCAUUUACCUCAUUCUGCUCAAAAUGACUUUUGCAUAUAUUUGUUUUCCGUGCUCCUCAAAGGCAGCAGCUGUACCCAGUCUUCCUUACCUCCCAGUAUAUGACAUAGUUCCUGUCACAUAGUCAUUGAACAGAUGUUGAAGACAUGAACUCAGUGUGCUCCUCCAAUGCAGUUAGGGCAAUUAAUCCAGAUGUGGUGGGCUGCAAAGAUCACUGGACUAGGAUUCAGGAGACCCAUGUCCCAGGUCCAGCUCUGCCACUAGAUAAGUGACCUUGGAUGAGUCAUUCAGUCUCCUUUAUUAAAGAAGGGGGUUGGACUAAAUGAUCUCUCAGACCCCUUCCAACUUUAAGUUCUAUGAUUCUGACCCCAUUUCUUGGAUUGGGAAACACAUUUCCUCCCUCAUAGUAUUCAGGAGCCUCAAUUUAGCCUGUCAGACGUUCACAUUUCCCAAGCAAAGCUUUCAAACACUUCGAAGUUGUCUACUGAGCUAGCCAGAGCUCUUCAUUAGGCUCCUGUUGGCUUAUCCAUUGACCACUGAGCUGUUCUCACUCCUCCCCAGGAGAUUUCACUGUGUCUGUAACACCAUUACACUACUGUGUGGCUGCCCCUUCCCAGGAGGGAGCCCUUCUUUCUGUUGGCCUAAGGGACAACUGUGAGGAGGGAGUCAUUUCCCCUCCAUCCAAAUCCCACCAACAUUAUAGCUGCUGCCAUGUGGGUUUUUGCUUAUGGACAUGUUUUUGGGGGGUGAUGCCCAUUUCUGUGAUAAAUAAGUUUUAAGCAGUUCAUGGGGCUCUUCAAGGCCACUCUUAAGUACACUGCUGACCUUUCUAGGGAUGGGAGGACUGGAGUUAGCAACUCAACAGGUACAUUCACCAUAAUCUCCAUGUAAUAAAUAAGAGCCUAUGAAAAGAUUAAAUAAAUCUUUCCUAAUGCUUUUUGACUGGCUUAAUCAAUAAUUAAUCAUCUUUAGAUGAGGCUGUAACUUGUGGAGUAGAUAUAAUUGGAUUAGCUGAAAAGCGGCAGUUGCGGAGCUUUGAAGAGAUUAAAAUGGCUGUCAAUCCCAUAAUUAAACUGCCACAAACAAAAGCAAUGGUGUUUUUUAGAAAGGAGGAGGAGGAGGAAAGAAAGAGUGAAAGAGAGAGAGAGAAGGAAAGAAAAGUCGGGGAGAGAGUUGGGGAAGGCCAACUAAUUUGAAAUGAAUCAACAUGUACUUACAUAUCACUAGAGACUGAGGCAAAA
RNA transcript from Homo sapiens (human), 6762 nucleotides. It is a transcript of the gene named RIC8 guanine nucleotide exchange factor B, with no coding region annotated. The transcript is spliced from 13 exons. The record is from RefSeq and is marked validated. Lineage: Eukaryota; Metazoa; Chordata; Mammalia; Primates; Hominidae.